Long non-coding RNA from Neopsephotus bourkii (Bourke's parrot), 632 nucleotides. RefSeq lists it as uncharacterized. Lineage: Eukaryota; Metazoa; Chordata; Aves; Psittaciformes; Psittacidae. The transcript has 2 exons. The record is from RefSeq and is a predicted model, not a curated record.
AGCGCCGCUGAGGGCGGCCGGAGGCAGGGUAGAAGAGCAAAGUAAGAAGAGGAUCCUUACCCGAGUUAACAUGGACUUUCUUCAUCCAGGGAGCCCUCCUACUUGCUGUCAACUGAAUAAAGUUAGGCGGGCAUGUGACCGGCCCGGCCAAUGGGGAGCCGGGAGCCCAUCACCGGAUUUCGCCGCAGCUCAGUGUUUCCACCGAUUUCACCCCAGAAUAUCCCCGUAACCGAGUGACCCCCCUCCCCGGCGGGUCGCACCCCCCGAGCAGGUGCCGGGGUGCCAGGGCACCCCUGGGGCAGCGGUGUUCCCCCUGGCCUGCAGGUAGAGCCAGCCUUUUGUCUGAGCUGGCGGCCCUCCGCCCCGGUGGACUGUGCUCUGCCGUCUGAUUUCCCAUCUGCGACAGCCACCGGGGUUUGUUACCUCGCUUUAAGUAAAACACCGAAAGAAAUAUUCGGACUGAGGAGCUGAAGUGGGGUUAAAAGGGAGGAAACCGAUAAGGAGGCGAAGGAAGGCAAAGCCAUCCAAGAAGAGGGUAAUAUGUUGUACAAUAGGUCUGUUCUGCCUUUGUCUCACAGAGGUCAUCCAAAAGUUACCAGAAUUUAGUUCUGCUGAAUAAAAUUAGGCAAUCA